Molecule: ribosomal RNA, 253 nt
Filed under: uncultured bacterium
Lineage: Bacteria
Description: partial 16S ribosomal RNA
Rfam family: Bacterial small subunit ribosomal RNA
Source: RNAcentral
UACGUAGGGUGCAAGCGUUGUCCGGAAUUAUUGGGCGUAAAGAGCUCGUAGGCGGUUUGUCGCGUCGGCUGUGAAAACCUGGGGCUCAACCCCGGGCCUGCAGCCGAUACGGGCAAACUAGAAUUCGGUAGGGGAGACUGGAAUUCCUGGUGUAGCGGUGAAAUGCGCAGAUAUCAGGAGGAACACCGGUGGCGAAGGCGGGUCUCUGGGCCGUUACUGACGCUGAGGAGCGAAAGCGUGGGGAGCGAACAGG